CGCAAGAUUAAAACUCAAAUGAAUUGACGGGGGCCCGCACAAGCGGGGAGCAUGUGGUUUAAUUCGAUGCAACGCGAAGAACCUUACCUACUCUUGACAUCCAGAGAACUUUCCAGAGAUGGAUUGGUGCCUUCGGGAACUCUGAGACAGGUGCUGCAUGGCUGUCGUCAGCUCGUGUUGUGAAAUGUUGGGUUAAGUCCCGCAACGAGCGCAACCCUUAUCCUUGUUUGCCAGCGAGUAAUGUCGGGAACUCCAGGGAGACUGCCGGUGAUAAACCGGAGGAAGGUGGGGACGACGUCAAGUCAUCAUGGCCCUUACGAGUAGGGCUACACACGUGCUACAAUGGCGCAUACAGAGGGCGGCCAACUUGCGAGAGUGAGCGAAUCCCAAAAAGUGCGUCGUAGUCCGGAUCGGAGUCUGCAACUCGACUCCGUGAAGUCGGAAUCGCUAGUAAUCGUGGAUCAGAAUGCCACGGUGAAUACGUUCCCGGGCCUUGUACACACCGCCCGUCACACCAUGGGAGUGGGCUGCAAAAGAAGUAGGUAGUUUAACCUUCGGGAGGACGCUUAC
RNAcentral lists this ribosomal RNA (570 nucleotides) under Vibrio sp. Its description in RNAcentral is "bacterial SSU rRNA". It matches the Rfam family "Bacterial small subunit ribosomal RNA", at positions 887 to 1457 of the family's 1533-position model. Lineage: Bacteria; Pseudomonadati; Pseudomonadota; Gammaproteobacteria; Vibrionales; Vibrionaceae. The record is from RNAcentral.